Molecule: RNA transcript, 4829 nt
Organism: Cryptotermes secundus
Lineage: Eukaryota; Metazoa; Arthropoda; Insecta; Blattodea; Kalotermitidae
Gene name: cyclin-T1
Exons: 6
Source: RefSeq, a predicted model, not a curated record
GGGUACAGGCUGUAUUCUCACAUCCGGUAAUACAUAUAUAAACUUGUAGAAUAAUGUGAGAACCCAUCCCAUUUAAGCGAUGGGUCAGACGUUUACAGUAAACAAUCACAGAAGUUUCUGUUGUUGAUGACACGUCCCAGCCGUAAGGACACACAUAUUUUAUUCUAUUCCAACCAAUGGGAAUUUAGCCAUAAAUUUUAGUGGGGGGCGUCCUUGGGUUGAUCCUUGCUUCAAUGACAGAAACUGUACGAAAUGUUAUUUUAGUUCAGCAUCAGUUUUCAUUUAUCGGUGAAAAUGGAGAAAUGGAUAAUUCGCAGUAAGAAACCCAAGUUAAGUGAAAGUGGCAGUAAUGAACCGUGUGCAACUGUAAGUAAAAGUGAAACAAUUGUAAGUUCCAUCCACUGCAACGAAGACGAAACCACCGUAUGUGUGAAUACAGCUGCAAUAGAUAACAGCGUGACUCAAAAUCAGGUGCAUGAAAAUGACGUUAAUUAUUUCCCUAAUUACUGGACACAAGAUCAAUGGCUAAAAAAAUUGAAAAUAUACGAGUGGUUGACAAUUAGUAAACAAGGGCUAGGCUGUACAACAUGUAAAUCAGUGGGAACUCUAGGGCCUGCAAAAACACAAGGUUUGAAAUUAUCUAGUGAGUGGUGUGAAGGUAGGGUCAAGGAAUAUGGUGAAACAAAAGAGAAGAAACAACAGUCGAUUAGGAAGAAACUGUCUUGUCAUAAACUAUCGGCAGCUCAUGUUAAAGCUAGUGACAUUUUAUGCCUUGCUAAAAAAGAAACAAUUGAAUGUCUGAAUGUUAAAACACAAGAAAAACAAUACGUUACAACUUGUCGCAUAUUUAGGACAGCUUAUCAAAUAGCGAAAGUGAACCGUCCCAUGACAGAUUUAGCAGCUUUGAUUGAUUUACAAGAACUAAAUGGUUUAGCUAUGGGGCGUAUCUUGCAGUCUAAUCAUGCGUGCACUGAUAUUUGUGAUCAUAUAGCAGAUGAAAUGAGAAAGAAACUUGUUAAAUAUAUUAUUGAUAAUGAUCUUAAGAUAGGUUUCAUGAUCGAUGAGACUUCUACUCGAAGUAAAAAAGAAGCUCUUGUAAUCUGUUUACGUUGCAAACUGCCUGAUUCCAUGGAUGCGAGUAGUUAUUUUUUUGAUAUAGUGGAAUUAGAAAAUACUACAGCUGCAACGAUCAGGGACGCCUUUCUCAACAAUAUUAAGAGUAAUGGAUUUCACAGUGACUUUCUAUCAUGAAAUUGGAUUUCAUUUGCUUGUGGUGGGGCCUCUAAUUUACUUGGAAGGCAUGCAGGUGUUGCACAACUUUUGCUCCAAAUGUAUCCUCAAUUGAUUGUUUGGCAUUGUAGUAAUCAUCGAUUAGAAAUAGCGGUGAAUGAUACAGUACAGGAAAUGUCAACAGUGUGCCACAUGCAAUCAUUUUUUGAUAAACUCUAUUCCGUUUACAGCGUGUCUCCAAAGAACAAAUCUGAAUUAGAAACUGUUGCUGCACAACUGAGUAUGAGAUUAAAUACCAUAGGACGAGUGUUAGGAACGACACGUUGGGUAUUGUCUAGUGCGCGGUAUGUGAGAGCCAUAUGGAAUAAUUACCCUGCUCUUUAUAAGCAUUUUCACAAUAAGUCUGUAGACCCAAAACACACGGGAAGGGAGAGAGCUCAAUAUUCUGGAUUGAAAAGAAAACUAAGCGACGUAAACUUUGUUCUAAAUAUGGGACUUCUGUUCGAUGCUUUAACAGAACUUGAACACCUGUCUUUAAAAUUACAAGAAAAGAAAAUCACAUUGCCUGAAGCACAUCAUUUAGUUCUUGUUAAGUAUCACGUCUUUCAGUCCAUGGCAAAUAAUCCAGGUGAAUAUUAUUCUGAAGUUCUAACGGCUGCUGAUAAAUUAGAAUUUAAAGGAGUUAGCUUAGAACAUGGAAAAGUGCAGAAGAUUAGUGAACAACAAUUCUUUCAGAAAUUAAGUGACAAUAUAAAUACCCAAAUGUUCACCACUAGAGCUUCACACGAAUCGACUGGAAGUAGUAACACAUGGUCAAAUAGGGGCAAAUACAGUCAGUUACUGGACAACUUGAAAAUAAUGGAUAAGGCUAAGUGGGUAAAAUGUCAAGAUCCAUGUUUUGCUGAUAAAGAGAUUAGGGAACUCGCUGAGUCAUUUAUGGUGUGUAAGAAAACUUCAGUUCAUGGAUUCCAUGAAUAUUACAUGAAUAUAAUGAAUGGUGACGACAUGUAUCCUGAUGAACUAAAGCCGUUGAUUGCAGCUGCAAAUACUAUUAUUAUUUCAACUGCAGAGUGUGAGCGUGCAUUCAGCAACAUGAACAACAUUAUUUCAACCAUCCGAAGCGCGAUGCUUUUAAAAACAGCAUCUAGUUUAAUGUUUAUUUCAUCAGUGGGACCCCCUCUUAGUGCUUUCAAUGCAGAAUAUUAUGUAAAACAAUGGCUAAAGAAAGGAUGUCGACAUGCAGAUUACCAGUCUUAUGCAGCCCCCGCAGAUAGAAGAUCAGUGACUUCAGAAAGCAAUGAAAACAUCUGGAAAUUAUUCUAAAGAUAAGCAGAUAAGCACUCGUAAUGCAUGUGUGACUUUUAUUUUAACCCAUGCCAUUUAAACUACUGUAAUAUGUUCGUAGGUCUUAGAUGGAACACAGACUAUAUACAUCACUCGGUAUAAUUUCAUAAUUUAUGUCUAUGAAUUAAAAGGGGAAAACCAUCCCGGUUCUAUUUUCAUUCCACCUUAAGCACUGUGUAAAUGUGUUAUAACCUGCAACUCUCCGUGAAUAUAUUAUCACGAGUGGUAUGGACUGUAUUCAUCUCUGAGGACAGGCACUAGUGGCAGGCUUGUGUGAAAAUGGUGGGAAAUUCUUGAAUAGCAGAGUGAUUGUUAGCUUAUCCAGAAGGGCUCGUUUCUGUGGUGUUCAUUAGUAAUGGUAUCCACAUGGCUUCUUGUGGAAUAACAAAGAUAUAAGUGAGAUCCAGUUUGUGUUUCUUGGUACAAGCCCUUCUUGGAAUAAGAAAUGCCUGUAAAUGUUUGGAAAUAAAAAAGGUAGAAUGUAAUGGAAAUUUGAUUGAACAUUGACAGUGACUCAUGUUCAUAACAAUUAAACUUCUCCAUCUGUUAUUACUUGAUGAACAUCCUAUGUGGGCAAUCUUAUAAAAGAUAAGUCUUGUAUGAGAUCACUCAGUAUGAUGCUCCUAGGGACCACCAUUCAUUAGUUUCAGAGUUCAGUAAGAACCUUAACAAACCCAUAACAUGUUUAUAUCUAAAAAAAAAAACAUAUGCUGCAUACAGUGAAGAAACUCCUGUGAAAGUGCAGCUAUAAUGAUAUAAUAUGGAAGAGAGAAGAGCAUGCUCAUUAUGUUAGUUCAUGCUUCUUAAUGUAACACACUUUUUUCUCCUGUUUUGGCUGCAACAUGAAAUCUAAUAUGGAGAGUUUACUGGUUGACAGAGUAUUUCUUAUUAGAGAUAAGAGGGAGAGAUGUCAAAUUUUAUAACCACAUUUCAUUACAGAUCAGUAGAGCAGAACAUGUUUCCUUAUAUUAAUAUACAACGAUGUGAUAAUGAUUGUUGGGUAGAGUGUCAUGAGUCAGGUUUGUAUAUCCCUCUGAUGAGUCUACUCCGCUUAAGAGAUAUAAGGAAUAGCACGCUGCUAAACGAGGGCAUUCAUUUUUUCUGUGUCUGAGAAAUUUCUGCCUCUGAUAAGUUCUUAUGCAGUUCACUUUAGAGCGUUGUGUUAUAUAAAGCAACCGAAUCUGCAUGUGAUGUCUAAUAUGAGAUUGUAAUGUUGGAGAGAUGAAGUGCAUGAAUUUAUGUUCUGUGUGUCUGUUUUUCUCAUUAGUAUGAUAGAAUGUAUGAAUCAGUCACUUGUUCAGUAGGAUUCAGUUGUAUUGUUUCUCCUUCACUUGUUGUUCAGUACAGCAUUGUGUAUAUGCACAAAUUUUACGUUCUCCACCCAUUCACUGUCUUCCAUCAUGGUGAGCUGUUCCUGGCGUGCAAGGUGGAGAAUGGACCAAGGCCGAUGGAGGAGGUAGUAAAGGCACAACACAGAUGCCUCAAACCAGGCCAGCUUUUGCUGGACACAGAAUCAGAGAUGUACGUGGCUCAAGUGAGGAAUCUGACAUUGAAUGAAAGCAUUCUACUACAGACACUUGGUUUUGAAGUGUCUGUAGAUCAUCCGCACACACAUGUUGUGCGCCUCUUUCAUCUAGUUAGAGUCAGGGUCCUGUGGAGGCCAAGGAAGAAAAGGAGAGUCAUUGUGUGUGCGGCACGCGGCACGCACACAGAAAGACUACACAGGGCAGUGAUCGAGUGUAUGUGCAUAGGCCUUAUGCUUCGAAUUGCCAGAACAAACCCACAGCCAGCAAGGAUGUAGCAAAGGUGGCGUACAGCCCAUGUCUGACCACCACGUGUCUCCAGUACAAGCCAGCAGUAGUAGCCUGUUUCUGCAUGCACCUUGCAUGCAAGUGGUUCAGCUGGGAGAUGAGUUUGCUGCACAGCUUCAAAUGACUGUGUGUAACAUAUUUUUCUUAUGCUAUAAGCGUAAAUUAUCCCAUAACUUUGUUGACUUUGUGCAGGUUUCCAUCCAUGCUGCAGAUAAAUCAAAAGACGGACAGAGCAAAACAAUGGUGUCACAAGUGUCGAUUGCCAUGUCCCCCAUUGUGCUGUCACAGAAGAACGAGGAACUUCCUGAGGUGUUCGACGACAAUUUAUAAUGAAGUGACCAACUAUGUCGUUAAUUAAUUACGUCACAGAACAGAAGUUAAAUUAUAUAUCGGACGAUUCACUUGGAGACAAAGAAACUCUAUAUAUGAGUGAAUCUUUCACUG